This 820-nucleotide ribosomal RNA is filed under the name Dictyosporium meiosporum. RNAcentral describes it as "eukaryotic LSU rRNA". It matches the Rfam family "Eukaryotic large subunit ribosomal RNA", at positions 74 to 935 of the family's 3401-position model. The record is from RNAcentral. Lineage: Eukaryota; Fungi; Ascomycota; Dothideomycetes; Pleosporales; Dictyosporiaceae.
AUUGCCCUAGUAACGGCGAGUGAAGCGGCAACAGCUCAAAUUUGAAAUCUGGCUUCCUUGGGAGUCCGAGUUGUAAUUUGCAGAGGGCGCUUUGGCGUCGGUAGCGGUCUAAGUUCCUUGGAACAGGACGUCACAGAGGGUGAGAAUCCCGUACGUGGUCGACUGCCUUCGCCGUGUAAAGCCCCUUCGACGAGUCGAGUUGUUUGGGAAUGCAGCUCUAAAUGGGAGGUAAAUUUCUUCUAAAGCUAAAUACUGGCCAGAGACCGAUAGCGCACAAGUAGAGUGAUCGAAAGAUGAAAAGCACUUUGGAAAGAGAGUCAAACAGCACGUGAAAUUGUUGAAAGGGAAGCGCUUGCCGCCAGACAUGCCUGUGGUGGUUCUCCUCCGCGGGCAGGCCAGCAUCAGUUUGGGCGAUCGGAUAAAGGCCUCUGUCAUGUAUCUCCCUUCGGGGUGACCUUAUAGGGGAGGCGUACUGCGAUCAGCCUGGACUGAGGUCCGCGCAUCCGCUAGGAUGCUGGCGUAAUGGCUGUAAGCGGCCCGUCUUGAAACACGGACCAAGGAGUCUAACAUCUAUGCGAGUGUUUGGGUGUCAAGCCCGAGCGCGCAAUGAAAGUGAACGGAGGUGGGAACCCUUUGGGUGCACCAUCGACCGAUCCUGAAGUCUUCGGAUGGAUUUGAGUAAGAGCAUGGCUGUUGGGACCCGAAAGAUGGUGAACUAUGCUUGAAUAGGGUGAAGCCAGAGGAAACUCUGGUGGAGGCUCGCAGCGGUUCUGACGUGCAAAUCGAUCGUCAAAUUUGGGCAUAGGGGCGAAAGACUAAU